This 312-nucleotide unclassified non-coding RNA is filed under the name plant metagenome. RNAcentral's name for it is "partial contains 5.8S ribosomal RNA, internal transcribed spacer 2, and large subunit ribosomal RNA". The stretch from base 1 to 105 matches the Rfam family "5.8S ribosomal RNA", at positions 50 to 154 of the family's 154-position model. The record is from RNAcentral.
GAAAUGCGAUAAGUAAUGUGAAUUGCAGAAUUCCGUGAAUCAUCGAAUCUUUGAACGCACAUUGCGCCCUCUGGCAUUCCGGGGGGCAUGCCUGUCCGAGCGUCAUUACGCACCCUCAAGCCCGGCUUGUGUGAUGGGCCCUGGCGUCUCGUUCGCGAGACGGGCCCGAAAGGCAGCGGCGGCGUCGACCCGAUGAGCCCGAGCGUAUGGGGACUGUUGUCACACGUUUGCGGUGCGGACCGGCGCCUGCUUGACUUUUCUGAUUAUCCAGGUUGACCUCGGAUCAGGUAGGGAUACCCGCUGAACUUAAGC